RNAcentral lists this ribosomal RNA (497 nucleotides) under uncultured bacterium. Its description in RNAcentral is "partial 16S ribosomal RNA". It matches the Rfam family "Bacterial small subunit ribosomal RNA", at positions 28 to 507 of the family's 1533-position model. The record is from RNAcentral.
GAUGAACGCUGGCGGCGUGCCUAAUACAUGCAAGUCGAGCGAACAGACGAGGAGCUUGCUCCUCUGACCUUAGCGGCGGACGGGUGAGUAACACGUGGAUAACCUACCUAUAAGACUGGGAUAACUUCGGGAAACCGGAGCUAAUACCGGAUAAUAUAUUGAACCGCAUGGUUCAAUAGUGAAAGACGGUUUUGCUGUCACUUAUAGAUGGAUCCGCGCCGCAUUAGCUAGUUGGUAAGGUAACGGCUUACCAAGGCAACGAUGCGUAGCCGACCUGAGAGGGUGAUCGGCCACACUGGAACUGAGACACGGUCCAGACUCCUACGGGAGGCAGCAGUAGGGAAUCUUCCGCAAUGGGCGAGAGCCUGACGGAGCAACGCCGCGUGAGUGAUGAAGGUCUUCGGAUCGUAAAACUCUGUUAUUAGGGAAGAACAAAUGUGUAAGUAACUAUGCACGUCUUGACGGUACCUAAUCAGAAAGCCACGGCUAACUACGUG